UAGCUAGUUGGUGAGGUAACGGCUUACCAAGGCGACGAUCUGUAGCGGGUCUGAGAGGAUGAUCCGCCACACUGGAACUGAGACACGGUCCAGACUCCUACGGGAGGCAGCAGUGGGGAAUUUUGGACAAUGGGGGCAACCCUGAUCCAGCCAUGCCGCGUGAGUGAAGAAGGCCUUCGGGUUGUAAAGCUCUUUCGGCCGGGAAGAAGUCGCAUGGGCCAAUACCCUGUGUGGAUGACGGUACCGGAAUAAGAAGCACCGGCUAACUACGUGCCAGCAGCCGCGGUAAUACGUAGGGUGCGAGCGUUAAUCGGAAUUACUGGGCGUAAAGCGUGCGCAGGCGGUUUUGUAAGACAGGCGUGAAAUCCCCGGGCUCAACCUGGGAACUGCGUUUGUGACUGCAAGGCUAGAGUACGGCAGAGGGGGGUGGAAUUCCACGUGUAGCAGUGAAAUGCGUAGAGAUGUGGAGGAACACCAAUGGCGAAGGCAGCCCCCUGGGUCGAUACUGACGCUCAUGCACGAAAGCGUGGGUAGCAAACAGGAUUAGAUACCCUGGUAGUCCACGCCCUAAACUAUGUCAACUAGGUGUUGGGUGGGUAAAACCAUUUAGUACCGUAGCUAACGCGUGAAGUUGACCGCCUGGGGAGUACGGCCGCAAGGUUAAAACUCAAAGGAAUUGACGGGGACCCGCACAAGCGGUGGAUGAUGUGGAUUAAUUCGAUGCAACGCGAAAAACCUUACCUACCCUUGACAUGCCAGGAACUUGCCAGAGAUGGCUUGGUGCCCGAAAGGGAGCCUGGACACAGGUGCUGCAUGGCUGUCGUCAGCUCGUGUCGUGAGAUGUUGGGUUAAGUCCCGCAACGAGCGCAACCCUUGUCGUUAAUUGCCAUCAUUUAGUUGGGCACUUUAGCGAGACUGCCGGUGACAAACCGGAGGAAGGUGGGGAUGACGUCAAGUCCUCAUGGCCCUUAUGGGUAGGGCUUCACACGUCAUACAAUGGUCGGUACAAAGGGUCGCCAAGCCGCGAGGUGGAGCCAAUCCCAGAAAGCCGAUCGUAGUCCGGAUUGCAGGCUGCAACUCGCCUGCAUGAAGUCGGAAUCGCUAGUAAUCGUGGAUCAGCAUGUCACGGCGAAUACGUUCCCGGGUCUUGUACACACCGCCCGUCACACCAUGGGAGCGGGUUCCGCCAGAAGUAGGUAGCCUAACCGCAAGGAGGGCGCUUACCACGGCGGGGUUCGUGACUGGGGUGAAGUCGAAACAAGGUAGCCGUAGGGGAACCUGCGGCU
This 1286-nucleotide ribosomal RNA is filed under the name metagenome. RNAcentral describes it as "bacterial SSU rRNA". It matches the Rfam family "Bacterial small subunit ribosomal RNA", at positions 242 to 1519 of the family's 1533-position model. The record is from RNAcentral.